UACGGGAGGCAGCAGGCACGCAAAUUACCCACUGGCCGAAGGCCGAGGUAGUGACGAAAAAUAACGAUACCGGACUCAUCCGAGACCCGGUAAUCGGAAUGAGUACACUUUAAAUCCUUUAACGAGGAACAAUUGGAGGGCAAGUCUGGUGCCAGCAGCCGCGGUAAUAC
This 170-nucleotide ribosomal RNA is filed under the name uncultured eukaryote. Its description in RNAcentral is "partial 18S ribosomal RNA". It matches the Rfam family "Eukaryotic small subunit ribosomal RNA", at positions 417 to 585 of the family's 1831-position model. The record is from RNAcentral.